UACGGGGGGGGCAAGCGUUGUUCGGAAUUACUGGGCGUAAAGGGCUCGUAGGCGGCCAACAAGUCAGACGUGAAAUCCCUCGGCUUAACCGGGGAACUGCGUCUGAUACUGGAUGGCUUGAGUUUGGGAGAGGGAUGCGGAAUUCCAGGUGUAGCGGUGAAAUGCGUAGAUAUCUGGAGGAACACCGGUGGCGAAGGCGGCAUCCUGGACCAACACUGACGCUGAGUGAGCGAAAGCCAGGGGAGCAAACGGG
Molecule: ribosomal RNA, 253 nt
Filed under: uncultured bacterium
Lineage: Bacteria
Description: partial 16S ribosomal RNA
Rfam family: Bacterial small subunit ribosomal RNA
Source: RNAcentral